UACGGAGGGUGCGAGCGUUAAUCGGAAUUACUGGGCGUAAAGCGCGCGUAGGCGGCUUUUCAAGUCGAUUGUGAAAUCCCCGGGCUUAACCUGGGAACUGCAGUCGAGACUGUCUAGCUAGAGUAUGGGAGAGGGAAGUGGAAUUUCAGGUGUAGCGGUGAAAUGCGUAGAUAUCUGAAGGAACAUCAGUGGCGAAAGCGACUGCCUGGACCAAUACUGACGCUCAUGUGCGAAAGCGUGGGGAGCAAACAGG
Molecule: ribosomal RNA, 253 nt
Filed under: uncultured bacterium
Lineage: Bacteria
Description: partial 16S ribosomal RNA
Rfam family: Bacterial small subunit ribosomal RNA
Source: RNAcentral